This is a non-coding RNA of Epinephelus lanceolatus (giant grouper), 390 nucleotides long. Lineage: Eukaryota; Metazoa; Chordata; Actinopteri; Perciformes; Serranidae. The record is from RefSeq and is a predicted model, not a curated record.
UUCCUCUGCAGACAGUGUGUGUGGAGAAAAAUGUCACGCUGGGCGGGACGUGUCUGAAUGUCGGCUGCAUCCCCUCCAAGGCUCUGCUGAACAACUCCUACCUGUACCACCUGGCUCACGGCAAGGACUUUGAAAGUAGAGGCAUCGAAAUUUCAGGCAUCUCGUUGAACCUGGAGAAGAUGAUGGCUCAGAAGAGCGGAGCGGUCAAAGCGCUGACCGGAGGAAUCGCACAUUUAUUCAAACAGAACAAAGUGACCCAUGUCAACGGUUUUGGGAGGGUGACUGGUAAGAACCAGGUGACGGCCGUAUCAGCAGACGGCAGCGAACAGGUCAUCAAUACCAAGAACAUCCUCCUCGCCACGGGCUCUGAGGUCACACCCUUCCCCGGGA